This is a long non-coding RNA of Zingiber officinale, 328 nucleotides long. RefSeq lists it as uncharacterized. The transcript is spliced from 3 exons. The record is from RefSeq and is a predicted model, not a curated record. NCBI's taxonomy places the organism in Eukaryota, Viridiplantae, Streptophyta, Magnoliopsida, Zingiberales, Zingiberaceae.
CUUUCAUACUAGUUUAGAACUUUUAUGUGCAUAUGCAAUUUGUAUCAUCUUCAGGAACUGGCAAAUGGUCAAAACAAGUUUAAUAAUAAGGAGCACACAUAUAGCUUGAUAUCUGAAUUACUUCCCUUGCUGAAACAUAUCUAUAAGAACCAAUUAAAUGAGCUGGAAGUAAAGCAAGGGGAUCAAGAAGGUGGAUUUUCUGGUGUACUUCUUCGAGUAUAUGAGCCUCACAAUGAGCUUGUUAACUGUAAUUAUUGCAGGACUUCACUAGUGGAUUUUCAUAGAAGCUGCUCAAAUUGCUCUUACAAACUUUGCUUAGAUUGUUACG